RNAcentral lists this ribosomal RNA (325 nucleotides) under uncultured eukaryote. Its description in RNAcentral is "partial 18S ribosomal RNA". It matches the Rfam family "Eukaryotic small subunit ribosomal RNA", at positions 1470 to 1796 of the family's 1831-position model. The record is from RNAcentral.
CCCUUAGACGUUCUGGGCCGCACGCGCGCUACACUGACAAAGGCAACGAGCUACUCUUCACCGAAAGGUGUGGGUAAUCUUUUGAAACUUUGUCGUGCUGGGGAUAGAUCCUUGCAAUUUUUGAUCUUAAACGAGGAAUUCCUAGUAAGCGCAAGUCAUCAACUUGCGUUGAUUACGUCCCUGCCCUUUGUACACACCGCCCGUCGCACCUACCGAUUGGAUGGUCCGGUGAAGCCUCGGGAUUGUGGUUCUUGCCGCUUUAUUGUGGCGUGACCGCGAGAACUUGUCUAAACCUUAUCAUCUAGAGGAAGGUGAAGUCGUAACA